GAUGAAGAACGUAGCGAAAUGCGAUGAGUAAUGCGAAUUGCAGAAUCCGUGAGUCAUCGAAUCUUUGAACGCACAUUGCGCCCCUUGGUUAUUCCGAAGGGCAUGCCUGUUCGAGCGUCAUUAUCACCCCUCAAGCCCUGGCUUGGUGUUGGACUUUAGUUAUAGCUUUGCCUAUCAACUGGUCUCAAAGAUAGUGACGGCGCCCCAGAGGGAACCGGGUACGAGGAGCUUUUUACUAAGCAUGUAUCUGGGACGACUCUGGGCGACGGUCUUGUUAUACUUUUUACCUAAGUGUUGACCUCGGAUCAGGUAGGAAUACCCGCUGAACUUAAGCAUAUCAAUAAGCGGAGGA
Molecule: unclassified non-coding RNA, 352 nt
Filed under: soil metagenome
Description: partial contains 5.8S ribosomal RNA, internal transcribed spacer 2, and large subunit ribosomal RNA
Rfam family: 5.8S ribosomal RNA (bases 1-120)
Source: RNAcentral